RNAcentral lists this ribosomal RNA (376 nucleotides) under uncultured bacterium. RNAcentral describes it as "bacterial SSU rRNA". It matches the Rfam family "Bacterial small subunit ribosomal RNA", at positions 30 to 407 of the family's 1533-position model. The record is from RNAcentral.
AUUGAACGCUGGCGGCAUGCCUUACACAUGCAAGUCGAAACGGCAGCACGGGAGCAAUCCUGGUGGCGAGUGGCGAACGGGUGAGUAAUAUAUCGGAACGUGCCCGGUCGUGGGGAUAACGUAGCGAAAGCUACGCUAAUACCGCAUACGAUCUACGGAUGAAAGCGGGGGAUCGCAAGACCUCGCGCGAUUGGAGCGGCCGAUAUCAGAUUAGGUAGUUGGUGAGGUAAAGGCUCACCAAGCCGACGAUCUGUAGCUGGUCUGAGAGGACGACCAGCCACACUGGGACUGAGACACGGCCCAGACUCCUACGGAGGCAGCAGUGGGGAAUUUUGGACAAUGGGCGCAAGCCUGAUCCAGCAAUGCCGCGUGCAGG